Molecule: transfer RNA, 27 nt
Filed under: Acer pycnanthum
Lineage: Eukaryota; Viridiplantae; Streptophyta; Magnoliopsida; Sapindales; Sapindaceae
Description: partial tRNA-His
Source: RNAcentral
ACUGCCUUGAUCCACUUGGCUACAUCC